This is a non-coding RNA of Sus scrofa (pig), 1656 nucleotides long. The record is from RefSeq and is a predicted model, not a curated record. Lineage: Eukaryota; Metazoa; Chordata; Mammalia; Artiodactyla; Suidae.
UAAAAAAAUAAAAAAAAGACCCAAAAAAUGCACUGAAAGAAAAGUGAGUAAACAUUAAGUGUUCUCAUUAUACAUACAGACAGAGAGAGGUGAUUACGUGUGCAAUGUGUUAACCAGCCUCUUACACCAACAAUUCAGCAAUACAGAGCUGUAUCAAAUCAUCAAGCUGUUCACUUUAAAUUUACGCAUAUUAUACGUGGAUUAGAUCUUAAUACAUCUGGAAAAAUACUUCUUCGUGAGAUGUACUUGUCCUAGUUUUAAAAAUACUCCUGCAGCACAUAAAAUUUGUUUGCAGUAUUUUUAGAGCAGAUGUUAUUAAAGAGUCUGCAUUCAGCAGCAGUGCCAGAAAACGGCAAACAAGAAAGAAAAAGUCUACUUUCUGUGGCUGUUAGAGGCCAGCACGAUCAACAAGCAUAAGGUAAAAACGCCCUAGUGCAUUUGAAAAUAACUUGUGUGGCUGGCGCUACAGCAAAUGCUGCUGCCAAAGACUGUGAGUCUCUUUCCUUGACCUGGUCUGAAGUGUAUGGGAAAGAUUCUCUAAAAUAACACCGCGAAAGAAGGUGAAGAAUGAACAGAUUUUUAAUGUUCAAAAAAAGAUGGUGGAGGGCUUAUUCCAGACAAAGAAACAGCUUCGCCACUGCCAGCAAACACUAGAGAGCCUGAGAGUCCAGAGGACAGGCUCUUGCUCUCCCAUCACAGAUUUUAAGUGACGUUCUCAGAGGUGGAAGUAAAACAAGAUGCUUCACUUCUGUUGUGAAUUUCCACGGCAGGGAGUUGCAUCUGAGAGAACCGUGACUGUCGCCGUUGCUCUGCAGCUCAGCUGCAUGGGAAUCACCUCGAUGCUUCUGAAGAUGCAGGUGCUGGCCCCACACCCAGCUCGGAGUUGCUCUUGGUAAAGUGAAAAUGACCAUUCACCGAGUGCAUUUGUCAACCCAGCUGCAUUUGAGGGUUGCUUUUUUCCUCACAGAAAUGGGCUGCUUUCUUUCAACAAGCCCCUUCUCAGCUCCCACCCUAGGUUCUUGGACAAGCAGACGGACCAGGUAGGAUGCAGCUGCAGCGGGCACUCUCCCAGGCCCUCGGCGGGGCCGCCCCCUCCCUCCGCGCUUCCCCAGCCCUCUCCACCCUGCACAGCGCGAACCUCGCGGUUUCACGCCCCUGGUUUUCUGGCUCUUCCACUGGCUUCGGGACACUUCAGGGCAGAGUCGAUGCUUCAUGCUGUCUGUGUUCCCCGUGCUGCUCCACUGCCACAGACUCACUCCUGGCAGGUGUGACGCGUUCAGCGACGUGGCUGAAGAAUCGCAGGAAUGAACGCGGUUUCAAUAACAGAGAUGCUGUUCGCCUGAUGAUCCUGAACCUAGGAAAUAAACGAAGGUGGGAAUGAAUGAAUACGCCAGUGAAUAAGAUUAUCAUUUAAAUGUAAAACCUAAAGGGAAUGACAGCAUGGUGAUCAGUGUGAUUCAGCGAUUAUAACCCUGCGCUUUAGAUUCCGGUUAAUGGGCACUUAACACGUUGCUGAACCGCUCUUGAGCUCAAUGCCCGUGUAUAAAAACUGAAAGCCAUGCAGUGAUUCCUGCAGAGCAAUAUUGUAUGUGUCAAGGGAGAUAAAACCAGAGCCCCUGACACCAGAAUCUACCCAGUAUUUAGAUGUUAGCAGGC